RNAcentral lists this ribosomal RNA (380 nucleotides) under uncultured eukaryote. Its description in RNAcentral is "partial 18S ribosomal RNA". It matches the Rfam family "Eukaryotic small subunit ribosomal RNA", at positions 592 to 976 of the family's 1831-position model. The record is from RNAcentral.
CAAUAGCGUAUAUUAAAGUUGUUGCAGUUAAAAAGCUCGUAGUUGGAUUUGUGGCGUACGGUGGGUUCCGGGCACUUGUUGUCUGAGUAACUUGCUGUUGCCAUCCUUGGGUGGAACCUGUGUGGCAUUAGGUUGUCGUGCAGGGGAUGCCCAUCAUUUACUGUGAAAAAAUUAGAGUGUUCAAAGCAGGCUUAUGCCGUUGAAUAUAUUAGCAUGGAAUAAUGAGAUAGGACUUUUUUGCUAUUUUGUUGGUUUGCGCAAAGAGGCAAUGAUUAAUAGGGACAGUUGGGGGUAUUCGUAUUCCAUUGUCAGAGGUGAAAUUCUUGGAUUUUUGGAAGACGAACUACUGCAAAAGCAUUUACCAAGGAUGUUUUCAUUAA